AGCCACAGCCACAACCACAACCACAACCUCUGCCACAACCGCAGCCGCAACCACAGCCUUUACCGCUACCAGGCCCACAACCAUUACCGCAACCCGGCCCGCAGCCGAACCCAAACCCCCAACCGUUACCACAGCCAAACCCAAAUCCCCAGCCUUUACCUCAGCCAGACCCGAACGCUCCGCCGUUGCCUCUGCCGCAGCCUAACCCAAACAACCCGCAACCUCUGCCGCAGCCAGACCCUAACGCGCCAUCACUACCUCUGCCGCAGCCAGACCCAAACGCGCCACCACUGCCUCUGCCACAACCUGAUCCGAACGCGCCACCACAACCUUUGCCGCAACCAGACCCAAACAACCCUCAACCUUUACCGCAACCUGACCCUAACGCACCACCACAGCCUUUGCCGCAACCAGACCCUAACUCGCCGCCACAGCCUUUGCCGCAACCAGACCCGAACACGCCUCCUGGCCAACAAAUUAAUGCAAAGAUAUCAUCACAGCCGGAUUCUAUUGGUGGAGCCAGAACUUUAUAUCCAUACGGUGUAAU
This 547-nucleotide long non-coding RNA is filed under the name Oryza sativa (Asian cultivated rice). RNAcentral's name for it is "long non-coding RNA (OSAT_LNC000198)". The record is from RNAcentral. Lineage: Eukaryota; Viridiplantae; Streptophyta; Magnoliopsida; Poales; Poaceae.